RNAcentral lists this long non-coding RNA (4237 nucleotides) under Homo sapiens (human). RNAcentral describes it as "HSALNT0065823". The record is from RNAcentral. Lineage: Eukaryota; Metazoa; Chordata; Mammalia; Primates; Hominidae.
AAAUGGGGUGUCCUGGGUGAACCAAAUGCUGGUGUAGGGAAAGGAAUGGGAAUGUUGAGGGGAUGGGAAGAGGCAUCAAGAACAGGAAUAUAAUUUUCCUACAGUGCUGUUCUGCUGAGACUACAGAGUACCUCAGGGAGUCAUGCAUCCUCUUCCUGUUGCUUUACUGAAUCUUAAAGAGUGAUACAGUACUAAUGAUGCCAUUCUAGCAACUGGAGCAGCUUCAGGGGAGAGAGCACAUUAAGGGUGCUGGGAUGGUAAUGGUUGGGAGGAAGCUGAAUGGUAGUAAGAGAGACAUUCUGUCCUGAGAACUCUGAUCCAGUAAGUGAUAUUUGGCUUUGGGGAUGGUUCCUAUUAGCAUUAUGGGAACUAGAGAGUGGCCUCAGAUGGAAGUGCUGACUUUACACAGAUGGUAUCUUUCAUGCGCGUCCGUGUGAAGAGACCACCAAACAGGCUUUGUGUGAGCAAUAAAGCUUUUAAUCACCUGGGUGCCGGCGGGCUGAGUCCAAAAAGACAGUCAGAGAAGGGAGAUGGGGUGGGGACGUUUUAUCGGAUUUGGGUAGGUAAAGGAAAAAGGGGGGUUGUUCUCUGGCAGGCAGGAGUAGGGGUCACAAGGUGCUCAGUAGGGGAGCUUUUAAGCCAGGAUGAGCCAGGAGAAAGAAUUUCACAAGAUAAUGCCAUCAGUUAAGGCAGGAACAGGCCAUUUUCAUUUCUUUUGUAGUGGAAUGUCAUCAGUUAAGGCAGGAACCGGCCAUCUGGAUGUGCAUGUGCAGGUCACAGGGGAUAUGAUGGCUUAGCUUGGGCUCAGAGGCCUGACAUUCCUGUCUUCUUAUAUUAAUAAGAAAAAUAAAAUGAAAUAGUGGUAAAGUGUUGGGAUGGCAAAAAUUUUGGGGGAUGGUAUGGAGAGAUAAUGGGCGAUGUUUCUCAGGGCUGCUUCGAGUGGGAUUAGGGGCGGCGUGGGAACCUAGAGUGGGAGAGAUUAAGCUGAAGGAAGAUUUUGUGGUAAGGGGUGAUAUUGUGGGACUGUUAGAGGAAACAUUUGUCAUUUAGAAUUAUUGAUGAUUGCCUGGAUAUGGUUUUGUAUGAACUGAGAAACUAAAUGGAAUAAGAGAAGGAGAAAAACAGGUAUUAAAGGUCUAAGAAUUGGGAAGACCUAGGACAUCUAAUUAGAGUGCCUAAGGAGAUUCAGCGUAGUCCUGCCAGCAAAGAUUAUUUAUUUACUUCAAGAAUGGCAGUUUGGGGAUACCACCAGGAGAUAUCAGCUGUGAUGGCUUGGAGAAACAGUGUAAACUGGCAGUGUAAACAAGAGCAGGACAUGUAUGAGUAGUUGAGAACAGUGAAUAGGAGUAUGACUAGAGAGAAGAUAGUAGGGAUGACAAGUUUUUUGGGGCACAGUCUAAGUUGGUCUGGUGUCUGGAAUGAGACUGGGGCUUAAUAAAAAGGAGCCUCUAUACAGGAGCUCAAAUGGGCUGUACCUUGUAGCAUUCUGAGGACAGGCCUGACUUCUGAGAAAAGAAAGAGGUAAAAGUUUUUCUAGCCCUUUUUAAGUUGGUGGCUGAGGUUUUAAAAGACAAUUAGUCCAUUCUACUUUUCCUGAAGACUGAGGACUGUAAGGGAUAUAAAGGUUUCAUUGAAUACUAAGAGCCUGAAAAACUGCUUGGCUGAUUUGACUAAUAAAGGCCGGUCUGCUAUCGGACUGUAUAGAGGUGGGAAGGCCAAACCGAGUAAUUGUGUCUGACAGAAGGGAAGAAAUGACUGUGUUGGCCUUCUUAGACCCUGUGGGAAAGGCCUCUACCUAUCCAGUGAAAGUGUCUACCUAGACCAAGAGGUAUUUUAGUUAUCUGACUCGGGGCAUGUUGAGUAAAGCUAAUUUGCCAGUCCUGGGUGGGGGCAAAUCUCUGAGCUUGAUGUGUAGGGAAGGGAGGGGGCCUGAAUAAUCCCUGAGGAGUAGUAGAAUAGCAGAUGGAACACUGAGAAGUUAUUUCCUUGAGGAUACAUUUCCACGAUGGAAAGGAAAUGAGAGGUUCUAAGAGGCGGGCUAGUGGCUUGUACCAUAGCAUAGCCUGCCUUUGCUGGUGUGUGGCGAUUAGGCCUGGUGGAACUGCCAUCAAUAAAUCAAGCGUGAUCAGGGUGAGGAACAGGAAAGGAGAAAAUAUGGGGAAAUGGGGUGAAUGUCAGGUGGAUCAGAGAGAUACAGUCAUGGGGGUCAGGUGUGGUAUCAGGAAUAAUGUGGGAGGCCGGAUUGACGUCCGGGCCAGGAACAAUGGUAAUUGUGGGACUUAACAAAGAACGAGUACAGCUGAAGGAGCCGGGGAACAGAAAGCAUAUGCGUCAGGGAUCUGAAUGAUGCAGUGUCGCAAUCCCAUUUUAUAAAUGAGGCAACCAAAACUCGAACAGGACCAUAUUGCGACUGAAACAAGGCAUAACAGGUCUUUGACUGGCUAUCCUGUGGAUGUGGACUCAGGCUAGCCUGCGCAAAGUGAAAGACAGGCAAUUAGAUUGAAAAAUACCUGUGAUUCAAAGAAGUCACAAGUCACAGAGACAAACUUUUCCCAGUGUGUUCGAGUCAGAGAACCUUUGCAAAGACCAACAGGCUAAAAGAGAAAAUACAAUGUCAUCUUGAUGCAGAUGAGCAGGUAACCAUGGAAGUCGUGAGCUGAGGCUGCAGAGUCUAGAGCCAGAGUGUGGAAUAAACUUGGGUCUCAAAUCACCCCUGGAGCAAAGCACCCAUCUAAUCAGGAACUUCUACUUUCAACUUUACAUGCGUGAGAAAUGAACUUCUAUCAUGUUAGAGAAAUCCUUACACGGCGCCCUUGAGAGCUUUCAUACUGCAAGUCAUCCAUUUUCCUCCCCUCAAACCUGGCAUCGGAGUUUAUUGAAACAAAGCAAAAUAAAACAAAUAGACAAAGCUCUACCUCCAUCACUUCUGCAGUCUACAUUAACCCCACGUCCAGAAUAUUCACACCUCAGGUCUUUUUCUCACAAUUGAAACACUGGUUCAGAGCCUAACGGAAGGUCUUGGAGGUCCAGUCUAAUUCCCCUCCCCAGGAAGAGGGAUGAGCCUUUGUGGCUGCCUCCAUAAAUGAAAAUGCGAUGGAAAGGAUGCUGCACGACUUAUGAGGCUAAGUCAUAAGAAGAACUAAAGCUUCUACCCAUUUCCACUUCCUUUUGGGAAACGUGUCUUGGGAGCCCUGAGCCAAUAUGUAAGAAGUCCAGCUAUGUAUAGCCACCAUGCUGCAGAAACCACACAGAGAUAAAGAUUCGUGAGGAGUCUCCCCAUUUCCAGUUCCCAGCUGCUUGAGUCCUCCCACCUCCCAGAAUGAACUGUCAGACAUGUGAGUAGAAAUGACUCCAGACCCAGCCUUCAAGCUGUUGUCCCAGCUGACACCAAGUAGAGCAAAGGAGUUGUCUCCAUCAGUCUAGCUCAUAUUGCAGAUUUGUGAGAAAAAAACAAAUGUUGCUGCGUUAAGCCAGUAAAUGCUAGGAUAAUUUGUUAUAUGACAAUGACAAGAGUAACCAGGACACCACCCUUGUGUUAUCAUUACGUUCUCCCCUUGCUUCUUGUGAUGCCCUUGCUUUUCUUCUCUACCAGUUGCUGAGAAUUAGAGGAAGACCUUUGCUCCCACCAAUGUCAACAUUUCUUUACCAGAAAACACAGAGGCAUUUAACUCAUAUUUCGAAGACUUACAGCUUCUUAUAAUGGCCCUGGUGGUUAUACUUUUUGUUCUACUGACUCUAUUUUGUUACAGUUACUCUGCCCACAAAGUGCAAGACCCUUUGUGAUUAUGUUGGGGGACAUCAAUUCAAAUGACACCGUGAUAGCAUUACUGUCAAAUCAUGCUUCCCUCUCAAUGCUGUUGAUGAAGCUGGUGUACCCCAACCCUGUUCUUACAGGUUAAGUUGCUUUUUCCCACUUGAAACAUUGUACAACAGCCAAAAGCUUAUCUGGUCAGUUUUAAUGCGUCCUGCCCCUUCCUAGGACUUAUUGCAAUGACAAACAUAUAAGAGCUGUGAAAACUCUGUGACUUACACACAGUAGGCACCUGGUGUUUUAAGUGCUCUUCCUGAAAUGCUCACUGACAAUAAAACUAUUGAACAGAUCAGGACUGAAAACAUAGCUUUGUUUUGUGCCAGCAAAGACUCUCUUCUCUCCUUUACAGGUUGACAUUGAGCCAUUAAUCAACAGUAUGUUCAACAGUAACUAGUGAGUUAUGAAUCCAACUAUGUGCCUCUAUUU